Molecule: long non-coding RNA, 453 nt
Filed under: Homo sapiens (human)
Lineage: Eukaryota; Metazoa; Chordata; Mammalia; Primates; Hominidae
Description: non-protein coding lnc-NDUFA8-3:1
Source: RNAcentral
CGUAGAAGCUUUCUUUUUCCUGGCUCAGAGGAAGUUCAAGAUGCUGCCACUUCAUGAGCAGGUGGCCUCACUGAUUGACCUUUGCGAGUACCACCUGUCCCUGCUGGAUGAAAAACGCCUGGAAGCACCAACUGGGGCAAAUCUGUUGUAUUUGGGGCACAGGACACAAUCGAUCCCAAGGCCCGGAGCUGUGGAGAGGAAGCCGAGUGUUAGGAUCUGCUGCCGGGGCCUCCACGCGCCCACCGGGAAAAGCCUGAGAACAUCGUGUUUAUUUCCUGCCGCCCGUUCCGAGAGAAGGAAGUGGAAAUAUCAAGUAGGCAUCUGCGAAUCUCCCAUCCCAGUCAUGUGCUACAUGGGUGUAGUGAACAGAUUAACCUCAUUUAGUUCAUUAGCUUGCCUGUUGCUGCAAUAUUUGGUUUGUUAUUAAUUAAGAAAAAAUUAAUUAAGAAGUAA